RNAcentral lists this ribosomal RNA (497 nucleotides) under uncultured bacterium. Its description in RNAcentral is "partial 16S ribosomal RNA". It matches the Rfam family "Bacterial small subunit ribosomal RNA", at positions 28 to 507 of the family's 1533-position model. The record is from RNAcentral.
GAUGAACGCUGGCGGCGUGCCUAAUACAUGCAAGUCGAGCGAACAGACGAGGAGCUUGCUCCUCUGACGUUAGCGGCGGACGGGUGAGUAACACGUGGAUAACCUACCUAUAAGACUGGGAUAACUUCGGGAAACCGGAGCUAAUACCGGAUAAUAUAUUGAACCGCAUGGUUCAAUAGUGAAAGACGGUUUUGCUGUCACUUAUAGAUGGAUCCGCGCCGCAUUAGCUAGUUGGUAAGGUAACGGCUUACCAAGGCAACGAUGCGUAGCCGACCUGAGAGGGGGGAUCGCCCCCCCGGAACCUGAGCACCGUUCCAGCCUCCACCGGGAGGCGGCGUUAGGGAAUCUUCCGCAUGGGGCGAAACCCUGCCGGGGCAACGCCGCGUGGUUGAUGAAGGCCUUCGGUCCGUAAACCUCUUUUAUGAGGGAAAACCAAAUUUGUAAGUAACUAUGCCCGUCUGGCCGUUACCAAUUCAGAAGGCCCCGCCAACUUCCUG